UAAUAUUUCGUUACAAGGCUAUUGUCCCAGCUAGGCCCGUUUAGAAGGUUUUAGCCUCCUCCGUCACUCAGCUCUUCCUAGUUAUAUGAAACAAGUGAAAAUCAGGGCUUCGUGCAUUCCUUGGAGUUGUACAGAAAGAAAAAAGAAGAACCGAGGCACCUGAAUCAAACUUAUUUUUACCAGAUGUGCUUCGGUAUUUUUCUUUUAAAGUCACGUGAAGCAGCGAGCAGAUGUUUUAGCUGCAGCUGGGGGUCCGCCUUCGCGAGAGCACAGCCGCAGAACAGCAGCUCUGACACAAAGCGCUUGGAUUUUUUCCUUAAUCAAGAAAGAGAAGAAGUUUAGACGCUGUUUUUUUAAAUGGAGAGUUUGGAGUUGUUUUGUUGGUGUUGUUAUCGAAGCUAGGAAGAAGACGAGCGCUCUCCUCCCCUUCUCUUCCCCCUCCUGCUCUGCUCUUCUGCUCGGGGAUUUCUCUUUCUGAUAGACGACUGUGCAGGAUUUGCUUUUCCUUUCUCGAGGAGAAGAGAGACAGAGACAAUGGAGAUGUUUUACACCUGGUGCUAUACAUACAGAGAGAGAGGGGUACAGAGAGAACCAGUGACUAAACGAAUUUACAGCUCAUUGCUUCUGCACUUUUGUGUGAACCCUAGCGAUGUCCAAGAAAGCAAUGUCCAGUGCCGUCCAAACCCUUUAUCCAGAAGUCCAUCUCUACCACUGCUCCUCUGCGAUGUGUCACAUUACCCAACAGGCAACACCUCUGUUCAGCUCCACUUCAGGUUCUGUGAGGGGGGUUUGUUAAUGCAGAGUGCUGCUUAAUGCAUCUUUGUCAGGACCUCCUGGAGGGGAUCUGCGGGGGGUAAAUCCAGGCCUCCAUACCCCAGGGGGUAAUUAGCCUUCAGUGACACCUCCAAACAAUCUUUUAGGCCCUUACCUCCUGGGCAGACCUUGAGCCUUAAUUAAGUUUCCUUAACUGGUGGCUCACUUGACAGUUAUCCUGCACAGUACAUACAUACCCAUGUGCAGGGCUUUUAUAAAUACACAUGAUGCUGAGACUCACCUCAUGGCUCUGGGUCUCGUGAGUAUGGUUGACUGGGUGUGUGUGUAUGAUGGAAAGCUUUGUACAAUCCAUAUGGGAAUGUGUGUGCAUGAAUGUUGGCAGCUGUGUAUGCACACAAAGGAAGUGUACAUGUGUGACUCAGGGG
Long non-coding RNA from Ictalurus punctatus (channel catfish), 1199 nucleotides. The record is from Ensembl. NCBI's taxonomy places the organism in Eukaryota, Metazoa, Chordata, Actinopteri, Siluriformes, Ictaluridae.